Molecule: small RNA, 446 nt
Filed under: Arabidopsis thaliana (thale cress)
Lineage: Eukaryota; Viridiplantae; Streptophyta; Magnoliopsida; Brassicales; Brassicaceae
Description: ATSL117040
Source: RNAcentral
UAAUUUAAGCUAACUAAUAUAUUUGCUAAUCUUAUACCUAUCAAAACCGACUAUCGUUUCUUAUCUCUAUAGUAUUUUUGCAAGACUUUUUUGAUGGAUUUGGGUAAAAGUGCAUUUGAGUCAUAUGGUACAUUCCCUUAUUAAAAAAAUAUGGUGUACUCCUAUUUAUUAGCUAAAAUGUUUAGAUUAUAAUUCAGAGUCAUAUCAUUAAUAAAAUUAAUAUUAAUAAAAUAAAUGGCUUUUUGGCAAGACAUAUUUGGAGUGACGGGUUUUUGAAUCAACAUUAACAAAAAAGUAAAAUAUAAUUAAUCCACCGUUUCAAUACGGGUUAAAUCUUUAAUUUAUUAUUUUUUAAGACCCCUAAUAUUAAACAUAUCAAAUCAUCCUAAUUUAGAAAAGAUUAUAUAAAACCGAAAAUAUUAUGUGGUAUGUAUAAUGUUAGUAUA